UUCUUUAUAUAAAGCUUUUUGUGCUUGCCUUGAUAUUUCUCAGGUGUUCAGUCUUCAACACCAGGGACCAGGGUUUGAAACUGGUUUUCAACACCACUGUUAUAAUUUCCGGAGGUAACCCUGAUGUCAUCAUUGAGGAAACAACACUUUUGAAAAUCAUAUUUGAUUCUCCUAACAAACCAAGGACCUUGGUUGCAAACCAAAGAAACCUACUCUGCUUCAUUGAAACAAAGAAGGAAUUCGUGAGAAAGACUCCGGGAAGUUCAUGGAAUUGUCCAGAUGUGGAGAACAGGUGGCAGAGAAGAGACUGCAGUUGUGGCCAAGACUCCCCCUGAGCUCACCCUCCUUCCCUGCCUGCCCAGAAUUGCCUUUAUCAGAGGAAGGUGGAUUUGAACAGGAAGAAAAGUUAAUUUUUCUGUUGAAUCAACGUUGCCCCUUUUGAUUGGCAGCAGGGGUAAAAACUUUGAACCCAAGUUAAAAUGUAAGCCUUUGCCUCACUUUAUUUCAAUUUUUUUGUUGAUUUACCAUUCAACAGACAUUUAUAGAAUACUUUUGUAUGUAAGGAAAUAUGCUAUGAGCUUAUUUAUUUCUUUUUGUACUUGUUCAUU
This 608-nucleotide long non-coding RNA is filed under the name Ictidomys tridecemlineatus (thirteen-lined ground squirrel). RNAcentral describes it as "lncRNA (ENSSTOG00000029595.1)". The record is from RNAcentral. Lineage: Eukaryota; Metazoa; Chordata; Mammalia; Rodentia; Sciuridae.